GACGAACGCUGGCGGCGUGCUUAACACAUGCAAGUCGAACGGAAAGGCCCUGCUUUUGUGGGGUGCUCGAGUGGCGAACGGGUGAGUAACACGUGAGUAACCUGCCCUUGGCUUUGGGAUAACUUCAGGAAACUGGGGCUAAUACCGGAUAGGAGCUCCUGCUGCAUGGUGGGGGUUGGAAAGUUUCGGCGGUUGGGGAUGGACUCGCGGCUUAUCAGCUUGUUGGUGGGGUAGUGGCUUACCAAGGCUUUGACGGGUAGCCGGCCUGAGAGGGUGACCGGCCACAUUGGGACUGAGAUACGGCCCAGACUCCUACGGGAGGCAGCAGUGGGGAAUAUUGCACAAUGGGCGGAAGCAUGAUGCAGCAACGCCGCGUGCGGGAUGACGGCCUUCGGGUUGUAAACCGCUUUCGCCUGUGACGAAGCGUGAGUGACGGUAAUGGGUAAAGAAGCACCGGCUAACUACGU
RNAcentral lists this ribosomal RNA (467 nucleotides) under uncultured bacterium. Its description in RNAcentral is "partial 16S ribosomal RNA". It matches the Rfam family "Bacterial small subunit ribosomal RNA", at positions 28 to 506 of the family's 1533-position model. The record is from RNAcentral.